Molecule: ribosomal RNA, 253 nt
Filed under: uncultured bacterium
Lineage: Bacteria
Description: partial 16S ribosomal RNA
Rfam family: Bacterial small subunit ribosomal RNA
Source: RNAcentral
UACGUAGGGUCCGAGCGUUGUCCGGAAUUAUUGGGCGUAAAGAGCUCGUAGGCGGUUCGUCGCGUCUGCUGUGAAAUCCCGAGGCUCAACCUCGGGCCUGCAGUGGGUACGGGCAGACUUGAGUGCGGUAGGGGAGAAUGGAAUUCCUGGUGUAGCGGUGGAAUGCGCAGAUAUCAGGAGGAACACCGAUGGCGAAGGCAGUUCUCUGGGCCGUAACUGACGCUGGGGAGCGAAAGCGUGGGGAGCGAACAGA